Molecule: ribosomal RNA, 995 nt
Filed under: uncultured bacterium
Lineage: Bacteria
Description: bacterial SSU rRNA
Rfam family: Bacterial small subunit ribosomal RNA
Source: RNAcentral
GGGGAAUAUUGCACAAUGGGGGAAACCCUGAUGCAGCGACGCCGCGUGGAGGAAGAAGGUCUUCGGAUUGUAAACUCCUGUUGUUGAGGAAGAUAAUGACGGUACUCAACAAGGAAGUGACGGCUAACUACGUGCCAGCAGCCGCGGUAAAACGUAGGUCACAAGCGUUGUCCGGAAUUACUGGGUGUAAAGGGAGCGCAGGCGGGAAGACAAGUUGGAAGUGAAAUCUAUGGGCUCAACCCAUAAACUGCUUUCAAAACUGUUUUUCUUGAGUAGUGCAGAGGUAGGCGGAAUUCCCGGUGUAGCGGUGGAAUGCGUAGAUAUCGGGAGGAACACCAGUGGCGAAGGCGGCCUACUGGGCACCAACUGACGCUGAGGCUCGAAAGUGUGGGUAGCAAACAGGAUUAGAUACCCUGGUAGUCCACACCGUAAACGAUGAUUACUAGGUGUUGGAGGAUUGACCCCUUCAGUGCCGCAGUUAACACAAUAAGUAAUCCACCUGGGGAGUACGACCGCAAGGUUGAAACUCAAAGGAAUUGACGGGGGCCCGCACAAGCAGUGGAGUAUGUGGUUUAAUUCGACGCAACGCGAAGAACCUUACCAAGUCUUGACAUCCUGCGACGCACAUAGAAAUAUGUGUUUCCUUCGGGACGCAGAGACAGGUGGUGCAUGGUUGUCGUCAGCUCGUGUCGUGAGAUGUUGGGUUAAGUCCCGCAACGAGCGCAACCCUUAUGGUCAGUUACUACGCAAGAGGACUCUGGCCAGACUGCCGUUGACAAAACGGAGGAAGGUGGGGAUGACGUCAAAUCAUCAUGCCCUUUAUGACUUGGGCUACACACGUACUACAAUGGCGUUAAACAAAGAGAAGCAAGACCGCGAGGUGGAGCAAAACUCAGAAACAACGUCCCAGUUCGGACUGCAGGCUGCAACUCGCCUGCACGAAGUCGGAAUUGCUAGUAAUCGCAGAUCAGCAUGCUGCGGUGAAUACGUUCCCG